This 396-nucleotide ribosomal RNA is filed under the name uncultured bacterium. RNAcentral describes it as "partial 16S ribosomal RNA". It matches the Rfam family "Bacterial small subunit ribosomal RNA", at positions 523 to 917 of the family's 1533-position model. The record is from RNAcentral.
AUACGUAGGGGGCGAGCGUUGUCCGGAAUGAUUGGGCGUAAAGGGCGCGUAGGCGGCUUUGCAAGUCAGUAGUGGAAGUCCAUUUUUCAAGGAUGGAAGUGCUACAGAAACUGCGGAGCUUGAGUGCAGGAGAGGUUAUCGGAAUUCCCGGUGUAGCGGUGAAAUGCGUAGAGAUCGGGAGGAACACCAGUGGCGAAGGCGGGUAACUGGACUGCAACUGACGCUGAGGCGCGAAAGUGUGGGGAGCAAACAGGAUUAGAUACCCUGGUAGUCCACACUGUAAACGAUGAAUGCUAGGUGUAGGAGGUAUCGACCCCUUCUGUGCUGCAGUAAACACAGUAAGCAUUCCGCCUGGGGAGUACGGUCGCAAGAUUAAAACUCAAAUGAAUUGACGGG